AUAUUGAGAAGUCAUCCAUAAACCUCUUGGAAGGGACGUACACAGUUAUACAAGCAUUGAAGAACACUCGCCCAAACCUAAAUAAAUGGAGAGAAGUGCUUAAGCAUAAUGAUAGCCUAUUCCCAUGCUCAGAUAAAUACGGUAAUUUGUUGCACUCCACCCCCGUGUUCUCCUUGUUUAGAUUUUCUAUCAUAAUAAUCAUUGCGGACAAGUCUGCACAAAAUACUAUAUAGAUCCAUCAGUUGUCAGAGUGGGCUGCAUAUCUAUCAAGAGGAGUGCAUGAAGAUGGGCCAUGGAUCACUAGAAUGCCAACAAAUAUACUGGAAGAUGUGUCUGUUACCCUUUGGUUUCACUGUAAUAUGGUUCUUUUCAAGGAUCAUCCUCCUCAACAAUGAUGGUUCCACGUCAAGAUUACUCAGGCACGAAGUGAAAGGUGGAUCCCGUGUCGUUAAAGAAAUGCAGAACUAAUCCUUUCAAUUUAUUAAAGAUGGAUUAUGUCACAAGUAAGUAUAAUGGAUGUCCUAUAUUGAACAAGAAUCAAGACUUCAGAUAACAUUUAAUCCGAUGGCUCAGAUCAUAUUGAUUACUGCUAGUGACGCUCUGGAGAAGCUGCCGCAUUCAAAGUAGGGGAUUAUCAUGUUCAGUUGUGAAGGACCAAGUCAGAUGGGAAGAGCAAACGAAGCAAGAGGAUGCCCUGGACUAAUCCCUUCUGAACAUAGUCCUCUCCAUGUUAUUCACAUAACAACAAUGGUAUACAUAUUUUUUUUAAAAAUAAAUUGUGUCAAUCUUAUACAAAGUGACAUAGAUGUUCUGUGUUAAACUAAUAGCCUGAUCUCAAUUUUAUUUGUAGCUUCAAAUUGUCUUUUGCAAGUUUGAAAUUUGUCUUAACUGUCUUUUAUCUU
This is a long non-coding RNA of Neltuma alba, 902 nucleotides long. RefSeq lists it as uncharacterized. The record is from RefSeq and is a predicted model, not a curated record. Lineage: Eukaryota; Viridiplantae; Streptophyta; Magnoliopsida; Fabales; Fabaceae. The transcript has 3 exons.